UCUAUGGCUAAUACAUGCGCAAAGAUUUUCUCCUUUGGGGAGGAUCUGUGUUUAUUAGAUACAAAACCAACCCACACAUGUGUGGAGUCAUGGUGAUUCAUAGUAACCGAACGGAUCGCAGUUGGUUUCGGCCCGCGAUGGAUCAUUCAAGUUUCUGACCUAUCAGCUUUCGACGGUAGGGUAUUGGCCUACCGUGGCAGUGACGGGUAACGGGGAAUUAGGGUUCGAUUCCGGAGAGGGAGCCUGAGAAACGGCUACCACAUCUAAGGAAGGCAGCAGGCGCGCAAAUUACCCAAUGAAAACAGUUUCGAGGUAGUGACGAGAAAUAACAAUACAGGGCAAAAUUUGUUCUGUAAUUGGAAUGAUGGGAAUGUAAAACCCUUCCAGAGUAACAAUUGGAGGGCAAGUCUGGUGCCAGCAGCCGCGGUAAUUCCAGCUCCAAUAGUGUAUAUUAGAGUUGUUGCAGUUAAAAAGCUCGUAGUUGGAUUUCUGUCGUAGGUCAUCCGGCGCUGCCUGUAUGGGUGUGCGCGUGGUUUGCCCGCGGCAUUUUUUCGGCAGCUUGCAGCGCUUAAUUGCGUUUGUAGGUGAUCCGGAACUUUUACUUUGAGAAAAAUAGAGUGUUUCAAGCAGGCUUGUUGCCCUGAAUACUUCAGCAUGGAAUAAUAAGAUAGGACCUUGGUUCUAUUUUGUUGGUUUUUAGGACCAAGGUAAUGAUUAAUAGGGACAGUUGGGGGCAUUCGUAUUUAACUGUCAGAGGUGAAAUUCUUAGAUUUGUUAAAGACGAACUACUGCGAAAGCAUUUGCCAAGGAUGUUUUCAUUAAUCAAGAACGACAGUAGGGGGUUUGAAGACGAUUAGAUACCGUCGUAAUCUCUACCAUAAACUAUGCCGACUAGAGAUAGGGAAAUGCCUACCUUGGCUUCUCCUGCACCUCAUGAGAAAUCAAAGUCUCUGGGUUCUGGGGGGAGUAUGGUCGCAAGGCUGAAACUUAAAGGAAUUGACGGAAGGGCACCACCAGGCGUGGAGCCUGCGGCUUAAUUUGACUCAACACGGGGAAACUCA
This 1061-nucleotide ribosomal RNA is filed under the name Eimeria brasiliensis. RNAcentral's name for it is "SSU rRNA". It matches the Rfam family "Eukaryotic small subunit ribosomal RNA", at positions 157 to 1217 of the family's 1831-position model. The record is from RNAcentral. Lineage: Eukaryota; Apicomplexa; Conoidasida; Eucoccidiorida; Eimeriidae.